Molecule: ribosomal RNA, 437 nt
Filed under: uncultured bacterium
Lineage: Bacteria
Description: bacterial LSU rRNA
Rfam family: Bacterial large subunit ribosomal RNA
Source: RNAcentral
CGGCGGCCGUAACAAUAACGGUCCUAAGGUAGCGAAAUUCCUUGUCGGGUAAGUUCCGACCUGCACGAAUGGCGUAAUGAUGGCCACACUGUCUCCUCCUGAGACUCAGCGAAGUUGAAAUGUUUGUGAAGAUGCAAUCUCCCCGCGGCUAGACGGAAAGACCCCAUGAACCUUUACUGUAGCUUUGCAUUGGACUUUGACGGGACUUGUGUAGGAUAGGUGGGAGGCUGUGAGGCGUGGUCGCCAGAUCGCGCGGAGCCAACCUUGAAAUACCACCCUGGUGUCGUUGAGGUUCUAACCUUGGUCCGUGAAUCCGGAUCGGGGACCGUGCAUGGCAGGCAGUUUGACUGGGGCGGUCUCCUCCCAAAGAGUAACGGAGGAGUACGAAGGUCUUCUAAGCACGGUCGGACAUCGUGCUCAUAGUGCAAUGGCAAAAG